This 72-nucleotide transfer RNA is filed under the name Bos taurus (domestic cattle). It matches the Rfam family "tRNA". From Rfam's summary of the family: Transfer RNA (tRNA) molecules are approximately 80 nucleotides in length. Their secondary structure includes four short double-helical elements and three loops (D, anti-codon, and T loops). Further hydrogen bonds mediate the characteristic L-shaped molecular structure. tRNAs have two regions of fundamental functional importance: the anti-codon, which is responsible for specific mRNA codon recognition, and the 3' end, to which the tRNAs corresponding amino acid is attached (by aminoacyl-tRNA synthetases). tRNAs cope with the degeneracy of the genetic code in two manners: having more than one tRNA (with a specific anti-codon) for a particular amino acid; and 'wobble' base-pairing, i.e. permitting non-standard base-pairing at the 3rd anti-codon position. RNAcentral also lists the same sequence under 5 other names. The record is from Rfam by way of RNAcentral. Lineage: Eukaryota; Metazoa; Chordata; Mammalia; Artiodactyla; Bovidae.
UUCCUAGUGGCUCAGAUGGUAAAGAAUCUGCCUGCAAUGCAGGAGACACAGGUUCGAUCCCUGGCUUGGGAA